GAACCUUCGGGGGACGAUAACGGCGUCGAGCGGCGGACGGGUGAGUAAUGCCUAGGAAAUUGCCCUGAUGUGGGGGAUAACCAUUGGAAACGAUGGCUAAUACCGCAUGAUGCCUACGGGCCAAAGAGGGGGACCUUCGGGCCUCUCGCGUCAGGAUAUGCCUAGGUGGGAUUAGCUAGUUGGUGAGGUAAGGGCUCACCAAGGCGACGAUCCCUAGCUGGUCUGAGAGGAUGAUCAGCCACACUGGAACUGAGACACGGUCCAGACUCCUACGGGAGGCAGCAGUGGGGAAUAUUGCACAAUGGGCGCAAGCCUGAUGCAGCCAUGCCGCGUGUGUGAAGAAGGCCUUCGGGUUGUAAAGCACUUUCAGUCGUGAGGAAGGUAGUGUAGUUAAUAGCUGCAUUAUUUGACGUUAGCGACAGAAGAAGCACCGGCUAACUCCGUGCCAGCAGCCGCGGUAAUACGGAGGGUGCGAGCGUUAAUCGGAAUUACUGGGCGUAAAGCGCAUGCAGGUGGUUUGUUAAGUCAGAUGUGAAAGCCCGGGGCUCAACCUCGGAAUUGCAUUUGAAACUGGCAGACUAGAGUACUGUAGAGGGGGGUAGAAUUUCAGGUGUAGCGGUGAAAUGCGUAGAGAUCUGAAGGAAUACCGGUGGCGAAGGCGGCCCCCUGGACAGAUACUGACACUCAGAUGCGAAAGCGUGGGGAGCAAACAGGAUUAGAUACCCUGGUAGUCCACGCCGUAAACGAUGUCUACUUGGAGGUUGUGGCCUUGAGCCGUGGCUUUCGGAGCUAACGCGUUAAGUAGACCGCCUGGGGAGUACGGUCGCAAGAUUAAAACUCAAAUGAAUUGACGGGGGCCCGCACAAGCGGUGGAGCAUGUGGUUUAAUUCGAUGCAACGCGAAGAACCUUACCUACUCUUGACAUCCAGAGAACUUUCCAGAGAUGGAUUGGUGCCUUCGGGAACUCUGAGACAGGUGCUGCAUGGCUGUCGUCAGCUCGUGUUGUGAAAUGUUGGGUUAAGUCCCGCAACGAGCGCAACCCUUAUCCUUGUUUGCCAGCGAGUAAUGUCGGGAACUCCAGGGAGACUGCCGGUGAUAAACCGGAGGAAGGUGGGGACGACGUCAAGUCAUCAUGGCCCUUACGAGUAGGGCUACACACGUGCUACAAUGGCGCAUACAGAGGGCGGCCAACUUGCGAAAGUGAGCGAAUCCCAAAAAGUGCGUCGUAGUCCGGAUUGGAGUCUGCAACUCGACUCCAUGAAGUCGGAAUCGCUAGUAAUCGUGGAUCAGAAUGCCACGGUGAAUACGUUCCCGGGCCUUGUACACACCGCCCGUCACACCAUGGGAGUGGGCUGCAAAAGAAGUAGGUAGUUUAACCUUCGGGGGGACGCUUACCACUUUGUGGUUCAUGACUGGGGUGAAGUCGUAACAA
Molecule: ribosomal RNA, 1432 nt
Filed under: Vibrio parahaemolyticus
Lineage: Bacteria; Pseudomonadati; Pseudomonadota; Gammaproteobacteria; Vibrionales; Vibrionaceae
Description: bacterial SSU rRNA
Rfam family: Bacterial small subunit ribosomal RNA
Source: RNAcentral